Molecule: ribosomal RNA, 413 nt
Filed under: Plathemis lydia
Lineage: Eukaryota; Metazoa; Arthropoda; Insecta; Odonata; Libellulidae
Description: partial 16S ribosomal RNA
Source: RNAcentral
UUACGCUGUUAUCCCUAAGGUAACUUAAUCUAAUAAUCAAUAAUAAUGGAUCUAAUAUUCAUAAAUCAAUGUAAAAUAAAUAAAAAAGUUAAUUUUAUAUUCUUGUCACCCCAACAAAAUACAAAUUAAUAUAAAUAUAAUAAUAUAUAAAUAAUUAUAUUAAGAUAUAUAAAGAUCUAUAGGGUCUUCUCGUCUUCCAAUAAAAUUUUAGCUUUUUAACUAAAAAAUUAAAUUCUAAAACAAAUAAAAUGAGACAGUCAGUUCCUCGUUAAACCUUUCAUUCCAGCCCUCUAUUAAAAGACUAAUGAUUAUGCUACCUUUGCACGGUCAGUAUACCGCGGCCGUUAAAAUCAUCACUGGGCAGGUCAGACCUUUAAUUAAACUCAAAAGGACAUGUUUUUGUUAAACAGGCG